This 201-nucleotide ribosomal RNA is filed under the name uncultured Syntrophaceae bacterium. RNAcentral describes it as "partial 16S ribosomal RNA". It matches the Rfam family "Bacterial small subunit ribosomal RNA", at positions 1182 to 1382 of the family's 1533-position model. Lineage: Bacteria; Pseudomonadati; Thermodesulfobacteriota; Syntrophia; Syntrophales; Syntrophaceae. The record is from RNAcentral.
ACGUCAAGUCCUCAUGGCCUUUAUGCCCAGGGCUACACACGUGCUACAAUGGGUGGUACAAAGAGAUGCAAUCUCGCAAGAGCAAGCAAACCUCAAAAAGCCAUCCUCAGUUCGGAUUGGAGUCUGCAACUCGACUCCAUGAAGUCGGAAUCGCUAGUAAUCGCGGAUCAGCACGCCGCGGUGAAUACGUUCCCGGGCCUU